GUUCAUGAACCAAGCGGAGCCGAGGAUUAGCUGAGAGCUCAACCUUGAUGAUAUCUAUGUGAGGAUGUUAGAGCAGAGUCUCUGUCAACUGUUCAGCUCAGCUGUAGUCAGAGAUGAGUCAUACAGCUCCAGUUCACUGAUCAACACCUCUGCCGCAGCCCCCUGGCACUGUUUAACACACACACAGACACACACACACAACCCUGUGUCAAUCUGUCAGAAACAAAUGGGGUGAGGUACUGUAAGGGGACUGUUCAGCCCAAACAGCAGUGACCUCAGCCUGUACCCUCCGACACCCUCUGAUACUGUAAAACCCUCCAUCAUACAUUUAUUUAUCUUUGCACCUGGCUAUGAUUGUAGUUCAUCUGAAAACUAUAUAUUUGUAAUUAUGGAUAAAUUUAUUUUUAAAGGACCAGCAUGACAGAAAAAAUGCUUAAUGAGAGUAAUUAAGCCUCGUGCAGCAAACAAUGGAAGCAGACUGAAAAUGUGGGCAAAAUAUAAAGUGGUUCUGAUUGGCAUGAGUUGUUUGGUUUAUUUUAUUACUUUUUUAAUGGGGUUGGGGGGAUAAAAAAAACAACUAAAUGAAACGAGAACAAAAAAGUUUUUCCAUGCAUGUCUGGUGCGUAUGGAGAAAGCUCAUACUAAUUUUCUGAGCAAACGUGUUUAGUUUUGCUUGAAUGUGGUCUUUGGGCUUUGAUUUGGGAUUUAAAUUGUCAAAUACUUUUAUGAAGGUCGGGCAGAUCGUUGCUCUGGAUUAGUGUUUUGUAUGAAACAGCUAAAAUAAGCUAAUUAACAUUUUGCCCAUUUGUCCAUUGGACAAAAAGUUUGUGUGU
This is a long non-coding RNA of Austrofundulus limnaeus, 833 nucleotides long. RefSeq lists it as uncharacterized. NCBI's taxonomy places the organism in Eukaryota, Metazoa, Chordata, Actinopteri, Cyprinodontiformes, Rivulidae. The record is from RefSeq and is a predicted model, not a curated record. The transcript has 2 exons.